UAGGGAAUAUUAGUAAUGGGCGAAAGCCUGAACUAGCAACACCGCGUGUGCGAAGAAGGCCUUCGGGUUGUGAAGCACUUUUUGGAAGGAAUAGGAAGGAAUGUACUUCCAGAAUAAGUCUCGGCUAACUACGUGCCAGCAGCCGCGGUAACACGUAGGAGGCAAACGUUAUCCGGAUUUACUGGGCGUAAAGCGCGUGUAGGUGGUUUGGUAAGUAGAGCGUGAAAGCUCCUGGCUCAACUGGGAGAGGUCGUUCUAAACUGCCGGACUAGAGGAUGGUAGAGGGAGGUGGAAUUCCGGGUGUAGCGGUGGAAUGCGCAGAUAUCCGGAGGAACACCAGUGGCGAAAGCGGCCUCCUGGACCACUCCUGACACUCAGACGCGAAAGCUAGGGUAGCAAACG
RNAcentral lists this ribosomal RNA (402 nucleotides) under uncultured prokaryote. Its description in RNAcentral is "bacterial SSU rRNA". It matches the Rfam family "Bacterial small subunit ribosomal RNA", at positions 355 to 774 of the family's 1533-position model. The record is from RNAcentral.